GGAGAGGUGGCCGAGCGGUUCAAGGCGCAGCACUGGAAAUGCUGUUUGGGGCAACUCAACGUGGGUUCGAAUCCCACCCUCUCCG
This is a transfer RNA of Scytonema hofmannii PCC 7110, 85 nucleotides long. It matches the Rfam family "tRNA". From Rfam's summary of the family: Transfer RNA (tRNA) molecules are approximately 80 nucleotides in length. NCBI's taxonomy places the organism in Bacteria, Bacillati, Cyanobacteriota, Cyanophyceae, Nostocales, Scytonemataceae. The record is from Rfam.